Megalopta genalis is the source of this 662-nucleotide non-coding RNA. The record is from RefSeq and is a predicted model, not a curated record. NCBI's taxonomy places the organism in Eukaryota, Metazoa, Arthropoda, Insecta, Hymenoptera, Halictidae.
GAGACGGGGUGACACGAUCAUGCUGGUGUAAUAAUCCGGCGACAUUGUUCGGCUCGGCAGUUAGGGAGUGCGGUCAGCAAGUGUCAGACAGAUUGCGGGAUUUAGCGACGCGACGACACCCGUGUGCCUUCUUCGUCAUCGAGGUGCAGAGUGCUUCGGCCACCCUUCUCGUCGGCGAGGGUGGACGUAGGAUCCAGGGGCGUUCCGCGUGGGCCGAGUCACUCCGUUCGAGUCGCAAAGGACAGCGGCGACGAGUGUGCCGGUUUUUCAGGCCGGCUGGCAUCGCUAAAAGGCAACGUAAAUGGCAACGAAGGAUGCCAGGAUCGUGCGACGGAUGAAAGAACCGGCGACGUCGCGACAGCACAGCGCCCGAAGGGUAGGCCAACCAGAGCCGAGGGGAUCGGGGCCCCACUCUCCGAGGGACGCCAGAAGGAAAUCAGGUCCGAGAAACGCGUCAUACUCGUUGCCAUCGCGAGGAUUACGACCGGUGUACCCGAGACGGCGCUCGUAACCUUAACGACCGCACUCGGGCACCGGUCGGUCUAUCGGUCGCUCUGUCACGAUAAUCCUCCGGCUGCGAGGAAAAAACGCAGCAAAUCGCGUGAAUGCGUCGGGAUCGUAGUGGCGUCUGUCACAUUUUCGAAAAUUUUCUCUUGUAUCUU